RNAcentral lists this ribosomal RNA (161 nucleotides) under uncultured bacterium. Its description in RNAcentral is "partial 16S ribosomal RNA". It matches the Rfam family "Bacterial small subunit ribosomal RNA", at positions 355 to 509 of the family's 1533-position model. The record is from RNAcentral.
UGAGGAAUAUUGGUCAAUGGGCGCUAGCCUGAACCAGCCAAGUAGCGUGAAGGAUGACUGCCCUAUUGGGGUUGUAAAACUUCUUUUUAUAUGGGAAUAAAGUGCAGUAUGUAUACUGCUUUGCAUGUACCUUAUGAAUAAGGAUCGGCUAACUCCGUGCC